RNAcentral lists this long non-coding RNA (207 nucleotides) under Phaseolus vulgaris (common bean). RNAcentral describes it as "long non-coding RNA (PVUL_LNC002242)". The record is from RNAcentral. Lineage: Eukaryota; Viridiplantae; Streptophyta; Magnoliopsida; Fabales; Fabaceae.
CACCUGAGGAGUUUUCCUCUUUGGCUUCCUUAAGAUGAGAUUCUUGCGUUGUUGAGCGGGCAAUGCUUCUGAAUGGGUUGGGCCUGGAGGGGGCGAUCUGCCCUGAGCAGCGGCGAUCUCCGCUACUGAGUUGGGCAUAGUUUGGGAGCCCGACGCCAACCCGUGGGCUCGGGCGAGCGCCCUCAAUUCAGCUAACUUGCUUUUACC